AGCGAACGCUGGCGGCAGGCUUAACACAUGCAAGUCGAGCGGGCCCUUCGGGGUCAGCGGCAGACGGGUGAGUAACACGUGGGAACGUACCCUUUGGUUCGGAAUAACGCUGGGAAACUAGCGCUAAUACCGGAUACGCCCUUUUGGGGAAAGGCUUGCUGCCGAAGGAUCGGCCCGCGUCUGAUUAGCUAGUUGGUGGGGUAAUGGCCUACCAAGGCGACGAUCAGUAGCUGGUCUGAGAGGAUGAUCAGCCACACUGGGACUGAGACACGGCCCAGACUCCUACGGGAGGCAGCAGUGGGGAAUAUUGGACAAUGGGCGCAAGCCUGAUCCAGCCAGGCCGCGUGAGUGAUGAAGGCCUUAGGGUUGUAAAGCUCUUUUGGCCGGGACGAUAAUGACGGGACCGGAAGAAUAAGCCCCGGCUAACUUCGU
Molecule: ribosomal RNA, 432 nt
Filed under: uncultured bacterium
Lineage: Bacteria
Description: partial 16S ribosomal RNA
Rfam family: Bacterial small subunit ribosomal RNA
Source: RNAcentral